UGCUUAACUGCGCAGGAAAAACAAAAAUCUUUCACACCUGUUUUACUUAAUUUGAUAUAUUGCUUUGGUUUGGCUUAGAAAUAAGCUGGGCCAGAGGUUUUAAACUAACAUUCUUUAUUGAAUAUUUUUAUUUUUAAUUUUACCAGUCAAUAGUUUUUUAAUUAAUAAUUUAAAACUUUCAACAACGGAUCUCUUGGUUCUCGCAUCGAUGAAGAACGCAGCGAAAUGCGAUACGUAAUAUGAAUUGCAGAUUUUCGUGAAUCAUCGAAUCUUUGAACGCACAUUGCGCCCUUUGGUAUUCCAAAGGGCAUGCCUGUUUGAGCGUCAUUUCUCUCUCAAAUCCUUGGAUUUGGUAUUGAGUGAUACAUCAAAAUCUUUUGGCGUUAACUUGAAAUAUAGUGGUGGUUAACCGAAAGGAAGCGAGUUCUUUUUUAAUUCUCAAUGUAUUAGGUUUAUCCAACUCGUUGAGUGAAGAAUUUGAAUAAUUUUGGAAUUGAUCGCCUUAUAAACAUUUCUAAGUUUGACCUCAAAUCAGGUAGGACUACCCGCUGAACUUAAGCAUAU
RNAcentral lists this ribosomal RNA (564 nucleotides) under Chernovozyma sophiae-reginae. Its description in RNAcentral is "eukaryotic LSU rRNA". The stretch from base 174 to 327 matches the Rfam family "5.8S ribosomal RNA". The record is from RNAcentral. Lineage: Eukaryota; Fungi; Ascomycota; Pichiomycetes; Serinales; Debaryomycetaceae.